AGUCUGCAACCCGACUACAUGAAGCUGGAAUCGCUAGUAAUCGCGGAUCAGAAUGCCGCGGUGAAUACGUUCCCGGGUCUUGUACACACCGCCCGUCACACCAUGGGAGUCGGAAAUGCCCGAAGUCGGUGACCUAACUGAAAGGAAGGAGCCGCCGAAGGCAGGUCUGGUGACUGGGGUGAAGUCGUAACAAGGUAAC
This 199-nucleotide ribosomal RNA is filed under the name uncultured bacterium. Its description in RNAcentral is "partial 16S ribosomal RNA". It matches the Rfam family "Bacterial small subunit ribosomal RNA", at positions 1302 to 1500 of the family's 1533-position model. The record is from RNAcentral.